This 489-nucleotide unclassified non-coding RNA is filed under the name Hevea brasiliensis (rubber tree). The record is from RNAcentral. Lineage: Eukaryota; Viridiplantae; Streptophyta; Magnoliopsida; Malpighiales; Euphorbiaceae.
UUUUGUCCAUUUUCAUUGAAGAUCUAUUCGAUUUUAAUCCAAAUUUUGCUGUUGGUGAUAUUAUAUACUAUUUUGCUGUUGUUGAUAUUGAGGGCAAAGAAGACUGGCGAUUGUCGCAGAAGUCUGUUGAAUGGCAGAUACGCCGCAUCUCCAUUAUAUCUUGGAUUUUUCUCACUUAAACUUAGUACUAGGAGAAGUUGCAGUUGUGUUGAGAAAAAGAAAACAGUGCGUUAACUUCAAUAUUUUUCAAGAAGGAGAACAAUGCUGACUGUGGUGCGGGUUCAUCUCCCGUCUGACAUUCCCAUAGUAGGCUGUGAACUUACCCCCUAUGUUUUGUUGCGUCUUCCUGAUUCAUUACUCAUUUCUGAUGAUAUCCCUGAAUCCGCCCCUGUUUACGGCUGUUUCUUGAGAUAUAAGUGGUACCGAAUACAAAGUGAUAAACAUGUUGCCAUGUGCAGCAUCCAUCCAUCUGAGCAAGCUACACUGCAG